UCCCAAUGAGUUUUUACGUUUUAACUAAGGCAUUCAAGUAGAGAAUCAAGGACCAAAAUAUCAUGCACCACCGUUUUUCCCUGACAAUAAGCAUACACUUUGAUCACUUAGAAUGGGUUUUUAGAAGGUCAGAACCAAAAUUAUGGAAGACUAGAGAUCUGUAUAAACGAUUCUGAACCAUAUAGCAUGCACCACCACCAAAAUUUAAUCCCUUUAAAAUCAAGCCAAGGCUUUAUUUUUCAACCGAUCUGGUCUAUAACCAAGGCAAUAUAUAGAACUCGGACAAGUAUCAUGCACCACACUCUUAACCCCAGUCAUAAGAAUGGGAUAUAUUAACCCGAGGCAUUUGAAUAGAAAUUUUGGGACCAAUUAAUACGCAACAACGGGACAAGGAGAGUUUUUGCAUUAAACUAAUUCAUUCCCAAAUCGUAUGUAUCCAUCACUAUUCUUUCUUUCCGAGCCGAGGCAUUUGUUUACCGAUUUGGGACUGAAUUGGAUUAACACAAGCACCACCACACCAUCUUAUUUGUUAACGACCAACCCUAAAUCGAAAACAAAAAAGACAACCGAACCGCAAUUACAUAACGCAGCCAAGCCUUUAUUUUUCAACCGAUCUGGUUUUAAACCAAGACAAUCUGGGACUCGGACCAAGUAUCAUGCACCACACUCUAAACCCCAAUCAUAAGCUUAUCAUGAUAAGCUUUAGAAUGGGUUAUAAAUUAACCCGAGGCAUCUGAUUAGAACAUUAAGGGACCAAUUACGCAACAACGGGACAAGAAGGGUUUUUUGUAUCAAUC
This 797-nucleotide long non-coding RNA is filed under the name Capsella rubella. RNAcentral's name for it is "long non-coding RNA (CRUB_LNC004788)". Lineage: Eukaryota; Viridiplantae; Streptophyta; Magnoliopsida; Brassicales; Brassicaceae. The record is from RNAcentral.